CGGUUGUUAGUAAUUAUCGCUAAAGCGUUAGUUGCUAAGUAAUUGUACUUCAAAGCGCAGGAGUUCGCCGUGCCCACACCGAACAUCUGCGCUAUUCG
Molecule: regulatory RNA element, 98 nt
Rfam family: 23S methyl RNA motif
Source: Rfam